Molecule: unclassified non-coding RNA, 165 nt
Filed under: soil metagenome
Description: partial internal transcribed spacer 1
Source: RNAcentral
GUGAAUUGAAUAUGUUAGCGGACCUCUUCGGAGUCCCUAGCAUCAAAUCAUAUCCAUAACACCUGUGAACUGUAAGGCUGUCUUGAAAACGAAAGUGAUUAGAGCGCCUGCCCAUUUUAUACAAACAUUAAAGUAACAAACGUAGUCCUUAUUAUAAUCCUAAUA